UUUCGGCUGGUAAUACAGCCAUAACAAUAACAGGCAGUGACAUUUGUUUUGAAGGCAAACAUCGAUACAAUAUUUCAUUCUGCGAUAACAUAACUUGUAUACCAUGCAGUGUACCUAGUGAGUUUGACUGUAAAAAAGCCUACAUUAAGGUUAGAACUGGACCAUCAUCAUUUUGUACGAAUAUGACAACGUUGAAGUUUGAAAUUGACGACUUCACAGAACUACAUUCUCAACGAUUUGAAUAUUUACCAGAUCCUACAAUAAUAUUUUCGAAUCAAACACUGAAAUCUUUACAAAGUGGAGGAGCAACAUUUAUAAUAAAUGGUGAUGGGUUUAGUCGUGUUGGCGAUAUAACUGUUGAAAGAGUG
Molecule: long non-coding RNA, 368 nt
Organism: Mytilus trossulus (common blue mussel)
Lineage: Eukaryota; Metazoa; Mollusca; Bivalvia; Mytilida; Mytilidae
Exons: 3
Source: RefSeq, a predicted model, not a curated record